This 750-nucleotide ribosomal RNA is filed under the name uncultured bacterium. Its description in RNAcentral is "bacterial SSU rRNA". It matches the Rfam family "Bacterial small subunit ribosomal RNA", at positions 61 to 810 of the family's 1533-position model. The record is from RNAcentral.
GUCGAACGGUAGAGGGGGCAACCCCUCGAGAGUGGCGAACGGGUGAGUAAUAUAUCGGAACGUGCCCAGUCGUGGGGGAUAACGUAGCGAAAGUUACGCUAAUACCGCAUACGAUCUAAGGAUGAAAGCGGGGGACCGUAAGGCCUCGCGCGAUUGGAGCGGCCGAUAUCAGAUUAGGUAGUUGGUGAGGUAAAGGCUCACCAAGCCAACGAUCUGUAGCUGGUCUGAGAGGACGACCAGCCACACUGGAACUGAGACACGGUCCAGACUCCUACGGGAGGCAGCAGUGGGGAAUUUUGGACAAUGGACGCAAGUCUGAUCCAGCCAUUCCGCGUGCAGGAUGAAGGCCCUCGGGUUGUAAACUGCUUUUGUACGGAACGAAAAGGUCUCUCCUAAUACGAGGGGCUCAUGACGGUACCGUAAGAAUAAGCACCGGCUAACUACGUGCCAGCAGCCGCGGUAAUACGUAGGGUGCAAGCGUUAAUCGGAAUUACUGGGCGUAAAGCGUGCGCAGGCGGUUAUAUAAGACAGAUGUGAAAUCCCCGGGCUCAACCUGGGAACUGCAUUUGUGACUGUAUAGCUAGAGUACGGUAGAGGGGGAUGGAAUUCCGCGUGUAGCAGUGAAAUGCGUAGAUAUGCGGAGGAACACCGAUGGCGAAGGCAAUCCCCUGGACCUGUACUGACGCUCAUGCACGAAAGCGUGGGGAGCAAACAGGAUUAGAUACCCUGGUAGUCCACGCCCUAAACGAU